Molecule: non-coding RNA, 47 nt
Organism: Trichomalopsis sarcophagae
Lineage: Eukaryota; Metazoa; Arthropoda; Insecta; Hymenoptera; Pteromalidae
Source: Rfam
AAAUCGGCCCUUUUUAGGGCCACAGAAAUGGAGCCGGGAGACCCCCU